Molecule: small nuclear RNA, 151 nt
Organism: Panthera leo (lion)
Lineage: Eukaryota; Metazoa; Chordata; Mammalia; Carnivora; Felidae
Gene: U4
Rfam family: U4 spliceosomal RNA
About the family: U4 small nuclear RNA (U4 snRNA) is a component of the major U2-dependent spliceosome. The structure of U4 snRNA from yeast and human has been reported.
Source: Ensembl
AGCUUUGCAAAGUGGCAGUAUCAUAGCCAAUGAGGUUUAUCCGAGGCGUGAUUAUUGCUAAUUGAAAACUAAAUGGAUGUCAGUAUCCAUGCCUCAAACAAAAUAAACUAGGGAAUAUUGUUCUAGGUCCUAUAAUGCCAAAAAGAGAGGA